Molecule: transfer RNA, 73 nt
Filed under: Canis lupus familiaris (dog)
Lineage: Eukaryota; Metazoa; Chordata; Mammalia; Carnivora; Canidae
Also listed under: 1 other name
Rfam family: tRNA
About the family: Transfer RNA (tRNA) molecules are approximately 80 nucleotides in length. Their secondary structure includes four short double-helical elements and three loops (D, anti-codon, and T loops). Further hydrogen bonds mediate the characteristic L-shaped molecular structure. tRNAs have two regions of fundamental functional importance: the anti-codon, which is responsible for specific mRNA codon recognition, and the 3' end, to which the tRNAs corresponding amino acid is attached (by aminoacyl-tRNA synthetases). tRNAs cope with the degeneracy of the genetic code in two manners: having more than one tRNA (with a specific anti-codon) for a particular amino acid; and 'wobble' base-pairing, i.e. permitting non-standard base-pairing at the 3rd anti-codon position.
Source: Rfam by way of RNAcentral
ACCUGGUUGGCUCAGUUGGUGGAGCAUGUGACUCUUGAUCUCAGGGUUGUGGGUUCGAACCUUACUUUGGGUG